Suricata suricatta (meerkat) is the source of this 2643-nucleotide long non-coding RNA. RefSeq lists it as uncharacterized. The transcript is spliced from 2 exons. NCBI's taxonomy places the organism in Eukaryota, Metazoa, Chordata, Mammalia, Carnivora, Herpestidae. The record is from RefSeq and is a predicted model, not a curated record.
CCUGCUGUGGGGAUCCUGCCAGAGGACAGCAGGGGUCAGGAAUCCCCCCUCCCAUGCCCCAGCCCCUGCGGGGUAUGGACACUGCCCUCUGCCCUCUGACGGCUCCACGGGAUGGGAACAAAGCAGAAGACCUUUAGGGGACUUCACUCCCAUCUGCUUUCACACUGGGCUUUUAUGGGGAAUUUGCUUCAAAAAAUUAAAACCCCAAGCUCAUAACCGCCCCAACAGCUAAUAUCUGCGUGCAGGCGCCAACAAUGAGGCGUACAGUUGACCCCUGACAGCCACAGGACUGAGGGGAGUAUCGGGGUCUUGGUCUUACAGAUGGGGAGCAGACAGCCCAGGAAGGGUGGUGAACCCCCCCCCCCCCAAAGGACACACGGCCACAUGGUGCAGAUCCAGGGCACUGGGCUGAGUCUAGCUCUGACUCGCCAUGGCCACCGGGUCCUGGGAUUGGUGAGCGUCCACAGCGGCUCCCACAGCCCCCCGGAGCGUGGGCAGGACCGUGUCCAGUCUGUAACGAACGAGGGUCGCCGGGGUGACCUUAUGAGCGCAAGCUUCUCGCACAGGCUCUCGGGCUUCCUCCCAUUCUCCUCGGGGGAGCCGGCGGCCACCUAGCUGCCUACAGAGGAGCCCACAGGGCAGCGAUCCGAAGGCGCCCCGCCAGCAAGCGCGCACUCGAGCUCGGGAGACCCCCGGGGAGACUCUCUGGCUGAGACCGCGGCCUGCUGAGCCUGUGUGGUGGCCCCAGGCCAGGUGUGCCCGCAUCCUGGACCCGCAGAGCCUGGGACGGGAUACAUGCUGAUGUUUUAAGCUGCCCGCCGUACGGAGCCAGCAGCGAAGCAGCCACGGGAAUCUAUUCCACGUCCGUCAUCACCUGGCCGGGUCGUGGUCAGCCGCGUGCCUGGGACCGCGGAGGGUGAGCGCUGGAAGGUCCUUCCGCCUCCACAGAGGUUCGACCACCGCCCCCCACCUGGAGCCUCGGCGGACUCACGGGCCCAGAGGAAACCCUUCCUGCCACCGCCCACGGCCGCGAGGCUUAGUGGUGUCACAGGAGCCUUCCCUCUAGGCAGAGUGUGCGUCGCCCGCCCGUCUCCCUGGGGUGCCCGAGCCGCGCGGGCGGGACAGAGACCCGGCGGCCGUGCGCGCCGAGGCGGAGUGAGGAGCCCGCCGCUCCGCGCCCGUCCCAGGUGGGACCCGGCUCCAGAAGGGGUCCCGGUUGGCGACGGCGGGGCCCGGGGCACAUGCUCACCAGUUUCUGGCCAGCUCGCGGUAGCGCGGGCCCAGAAACCUGCUUAGCAUCUCGCCGCUGUCCGCAGUUCAGGGUGACCCCGGCUGCCUCCCGGCCGUCCUGCGCAAGCGCGGUCGCCGCAGGGCGCAGGCGCACAGGGAGGCCCCGCCCCGGGCCUGCGCCGGGAGCCAGCGGUGGCUGCGCGCGCGGACCCGGAAAACAUUUGCAGCCACUUCCGGGGGGAGUCGGAAGUGGUUGCAGACACGGCAGAGAGUGGGCAAGGCGGGGCCGGGGGCAGAAUUCUGUGUCUGCGCGGGCGGUCCGAGUCGCGCCCAGCGACGCAGCCUCUGGUAACGUUUGGCUGGUGAUCCUGUGUCUUUGCUGCCUGCCAGAACUUCAUUCGCAAUUAAGGAGACGGGCCCUGCGGGGAAGAGUUGCUCUGGGGUCUUGAGCUUGGGAUCGCAGGGGAUCUGUCUGUAGGUGGGAACUCAAACCGGAGGUAGAGGCCGUCAUGAAGAUUGUUGGGAGAGACAGAGUAACACUGCCUGCAAGUGAGUAGAGAUGGGCCCGAGGCCAGAGGGCUGCAGCCUGGGACCCAGCAGUUCCUGACGCCUCGCCUCAUCCCUCCUUUUGCUGAAUGUACUUCAGCUCAUAAGGCAGCAUAUUCUUCUUUCAAGUGAUAAAAACCAAAAACCAGUUUAAGAGAAAAGAAGGAAGUUUUAUGGCAUUUUGGAUAGCUUCAGGCACGGUUAGAUCCAGGGUCUAGCAAUACCAUUACGAAUCUCUUUUUCUCCAUGUCUCAGCUCUUCUUUCCUCCGCCGUCCCUGCUCUCUGGCGAGCGCUCUCUGAGCAGUGGCGCGGGACACUCUGGGUGAACAUUCCAGCAGGCCUCGAAGGAAGACGGCUCCCUUCCCCGGGAAUUGCAGGACACGGUCUGAGGCUUGCUCUCCUUGGCCUGCUGUGGAAGUGGAGCGGAGGCAGACAAUCCUCAGAGGACAAGGGCUGAGACUGGGGGAGGGGAGGAUCCCCAAAAGGGAGCAGGCAGGAUUCCGAUAGCCGGAGAGAUGGUGGAUAAGCAGAACGCGCCCCCGUCCUCACAUCCUGCCGGUCCUCGCCCGGGCCUCCGGAACGCCCUGUCACAGUCCUUGGGGGAAACGGAACUCCUAGUUUGUAUUGCUGUGACGUUCAUACUUUUCAUCAUUUUAAAGUGAAUGGUUUCAGUGGCAUUCAGUGCGUUCACAAAGUUGUGCAACCAUCACCUCUGGUUGCAGGAAAAUUUUGUCACCUCCAGAAGACGCUCCAUCCCGUCCCCAUCAGCUGUCACCCCCACCCCCUCUCCCAGCCCCCACGAGUCCCCUUCCUGCCCGUGGACGAGCCUGUCCUGGACGUUUCACAUAAACUUGAGUUCCACCCUG